UGGGGAAUAUUGCACAAUGGGCGCAAGCCUGAUGCAGCCAUGCCGCGUGUGUGAAGAAGGCCUUCGGGUUGUAAAGCACUUUCAGCGAGGAGGAAGGUGGUGAGCUUAAUACGCUCAUCAAUUGACGUUACUCGCAGAAGAAGCACCGGCUAACUCCGUGCCAGCAGCCGCGGUAAUACGGAGGGUGCAAGCGUUAAUCGGAAUUACUGGGCGUAAAGCGCACGCAGGCGGUUUGUUAAGUCAGAUGUGAAAUCCCCGGGCUCAACCUGGGAACUGCAUUUGAAACUGGCAAGCUAGAGUCUCGUAGAGGGGGGUAGAAUUCCAGGUGUAGCGGUGAAAUGCGUAGAGAUCUGGAGGAAUACCGGUGGCGAAGGCGGCCCCCUGGACGAAGACUGACGCUCAGGUGCGAAAGCGUGGGGCAGCAAAACAGGAUUAGAUACCCUGGUAGUCCA
This 452-nucleotide ribosomal RNA is filed under the name uncultured bacterium. RNAcentral's name for it is "partial 16S ribosomal RNA". It matches the Rfam family "Bacterial small subunit ribosomal RNA", at positions 355 to 797 of the family's 1533-position model. The record is from RNAcentral.